This 458-nucleotide ribosomal RNA is filed under the name uncultured bacterium. RNAcentral describes it as "bacterial SSU rRNA". It matches the Rfam family "Bacterial small subunit ribosomal RNA", at positions 30 to 504 of the family's 1533-position model. The record is from RNAcentral.
UAAACGUUGGCGGUGUGCUUUAUGCAUGCAAGUCGUACGGGAUUAUAGUUUUCGAAUUAUAAUCUAGUGGCGAAUGGCUGAGUAAUACAUAGGUAACCUGCCUGUGAGUGGUGGAUAACUUGCUGAAAAGCAAGCUAAUACAGCAUGUGAUAAGCAAGUAUUUCUUGUUUAUUAAAGUCUUCGGGCGCUCGCAGAGGGGCCUAUGCCUGAUUAGCUAGUUGGUGAGGUAACGGCUCACCAAGGCGAUGAUCAGUAGCUGGUCUGAGAGGAUGGUCAGCCAGAUGGGGACUGAGAUACGGCCCCAACUCCUACGGGAGGCAGCAGCAAGGAAUAUUGGGCAAUGGGCGAAAGCCUGACCCAGCGACACCGCGUGAGGGAUUAAGGCCUUCGGGUUGUAAACCUCUUUUCUCGAGGAAGAAGUUCUGACGGUACUCGAGGAAUAAGCCACGGCUAACUAC